AGCAGCCGCGGUAAUUCCAGCUCCAAUAGCGUAUAUUAAAGUUGUUGCAGUUAAAAAGCUCGUAGUUGAAUUUCGGGAUCAAUAUGUCGGUCGUGCCUUGGUACGUACUGGUAUCAUUGGUCUCUCCUUUCUGACGAACCAUGAUGUCAUUAAUUUGGUGUUAUGGGAAGUUAGGACUGUUACUUUGAAAAAAUUAGAGUGUUUAAAGCAGGCUUUAGCUUGAAUACAUUAGCAUGGAAUAAUGAAAUAGGACGUUCGAACCUAUUUUGUUGGUUUCUAGGAUCAACGUAAUGAUUAAUAGGGAUAGUUGGGGGCAUUAGUAUUCAAUUGUCAGAGGUGAAAUUCUUGGAUUUAUUGAAGACUAACUACUGCGAAAGCAUUUGCCAAGGAUGUUUUCAUUAAUCAAGAACGAAAGUUAGGGGAUCGAAGACGAUCAGAUACCGUCGUAGUCUUAACCAUAAACUAUGCCGACUAGGGAUCGGAUGAUGUUAAUUUUUAAUGUACUC
RNAcentral lists this ribosomal RNA (506 nucleotides) under uncultured Glomus. RNAcentral describes it as "SSU rRNA". It matches the Rfam family "Eukaryotic small subunit ribosomal RNA", at positions 569 to 1080 of the family's 1831-position model. Lineage: Eukaryota; Fungi; Glomeromycota; Glomeromycetes; Glomerales; Glomeraceae. The record is from RNAcentral.